This 6202-nucleotide long non-coding RNA is filed under the name Capsicum annuum. Its description in RNAcentral is "long non-coding RNA (CANN_LNC003794)". Lineage: Eukaryota; Viridiplantae; Streptophyta; Magnoliopsida; Solanales; Solanaceae. The record is from RNAcentral.
AGGACUCAGACACAGAGUUCUUCAUCUCCACAAAAGAUGGAUGAGAAGGGUGUGCAUUCCCCUCUGAAUGCUCAAAAAUUCACCGUACCGGAUAUUGGUGCAGCUAGUCCGGCUCAAACGGUAACCGGUAAAGACAAAUCAAAUCCGUGAAGGGCUGUCACUUUGCCAAAAAGUGAAGAUGAAACAGGACCUUCAUCAAAACCACAUAAGACUAGUAACUCGAAAAAGACAUUAACAGCAAAAAAAAUGAAUAAAUAAAUUGAGAUUAUUGUAAAACAGACAUUAGAAAAAUUCUUUAGUAGCCAAGAACAAGAUAAGCAUAUAGAUAAUAAAGACAAGUCAUGUACAAGCACAGAUAGAGUAGUUCCAGACAUGAAUAAUACAAACAUUAAUAUUCCAAGAUCAUCAGACGAAGAAGAUGAUAGAUUUGAAGAUAGUCUUCUCCAAGAUGCUCAGGAUCCCUAUGAAGAUGAUUGUUGACACCUAAUUUUUGCCCUCCACGACUAAAUUUAAUCCUGAGUUUCUUCAUUUUUUAAUAAACCAAAAUAAUUAUUUUAUCUAAAUAAAAAAAGCUGAAAAUAUUUUUCGUACGUGAUUUUGUUAUUUUAAGUAGUGAUUAUAUACUAUCGUGUUCAGUUAUACGAGAUUAUAUAAUUUGUUACUUAAAUAUUUAUUUUACAAAAUAUUAGAUUUAAUUAAGGCUUAUCUUGAAAAUAAAUUCAAAUAAUUAAAAUCUUAAUUUAAAUAUAAUUUAUUCUCAAAAAUAAUUUAUUUGAAUAAAUAUGCAUUCAUUUUAUUAAAUCAAAAAGCUCGGGAUUAAACAAAAAGGUAUUAAUUCUUAUCGAAUUUUAAUUUAAUUUAGCCAAUCUAUUAGAUUUGACCAUAAUUGAAAAUUGGUCAUAAUUGCAAUGCAAUUCGUCAAUUAAUUUUUAAUUUGGUAAAAAUAAAAAAAUAUGGCUAAAUUUUAAAUUUCAAUUGGGGUUAUAUUUUAAAUAACCCCAAAAUUCUCAAGAACUCUCAUAACUUUUACCCAAUUCCCACCAAAAAAUAAAUUCAAAUUGUACUAUUCCUCCCAACUUUGUCCUUUUCCAAUUUUAAAAUUCAAAGAUUGUACUACAUUGUACUAUUUCCCCUCCACAUUAUCUUCCACCUCACUUUAUCUUUAAUUUUUACAUUCCAAAAAUCUCCCAAAAUAUUUUUUCUCCCACAUUGGUAGAUGACAAGAAAUAAAUCUCUAUCCUUUCCUAUAAAUACUUUUCUCCCACAUUGGUGGAAAAGGAAAAAAAAAUACCCCAUUCUCUCCUAUAAAUACUACCACUACUUUGGUAGAGAGAGAGGGGAGAAGGAAGAAAAAAAAAGGCUAGAAAGAGGAAAAAAUCCUUUUGAGCAAAAAAAUAGUUAUUUUUAUUUAGUAAAAAUUUUUUGUUUCAUAAAGUUGAUCGGCUAAUCAAAAUUUUUGAGUUGCCGACGACGUUUUUUGGUGGUGGUUGAUUCCAACGAAACUCGUAGUCUCGUUUUGUUGCCCCCCCAAAAGGUAAACACACCUUCUUUUUUUCUUUUCUUUUUUUAUUUUUUUUAUUUUUUUUAUUUUAGUUUUUAUUAUCGUUUUUCUCUUCAUCUUUUUUCUUCUUCGUAGUUCAUAGAUAUAAUUUUAUUUGUUGGGAUUGUAUGUUAUAGAUGGCCUUGAAGGCCCUAGGACGUUGUGGUAUCGAUAUUCUAAUUAUUUUCAUGUUCAUGAUAUAAAAAUGAGCUAGCAAUAGUUGUAUGUGCCUUUUUUUGAUUUUAUUCUUUGUUAUUUUAGAUAAAGUUUCAAUCUUUGCUUAAAAGAUGUAUUUAUGCUUUUUUUUAAACUCAUUGUUGUUGGAUACAUUUAUUUUUAGUAUGUAAAGUUAUUUUCUUUAUGUUUAGAAGAAUAGUUAAUGUUGAAUGUUUUGCCUUUUCACCUUAUUCUUUGAUUAUUUUUGAUAAAGUUUAGAUCGUUACUUGAAAAGACAUACGCAUGUCUUGUUUAAACUCAUUGUUGGUAGAUAUAUUUGUUUUUAGCAUGUAAAGUUGUUUCCUUUAUGUUGAAAAGAAUAGAUAAUAUUGAUGGUUUCUCUUUUUUUUUUACUUUAUUAUUUGAUUAUUUUGGAUAAAGUUUAGAUCUUUACUUGAAAAAUAAUAACCAUGUCUUGUUUAAACUUAUUAUUGGUAGAUAUGUUUUUUUUAGCAUGUAAAGUUGUUUAUUUUAUGUUGGAAGAAUAGUUAUUAUUAUUUGUUGCGCCUUGAUAAAAAUAGUAAUUAGUUAAGUCAAGAAUUUGUCAUUUGCUUACUAAUUAUUUUAAUGGGUUUCAAAACCCUCAUAUAAGAUAUGAAGUGCUAGCUUUAUUUUUCAUUCAAGAUGUUUAUUCCUUUUUGUUCGCAUAUUGUCUUUUCAAAAUGAUAAGAAAGUUCGAACUUUCGCAGCUAAAUAAAAUUAUUUGGAUAUUUUUGACUCAUGCAUAGUAUGAUUGUGACACGAUAUUUCACUUUUAGAAAUGCUAAACUUUUAUUCUUAUUUUCUUACUCCGGAUUGUUAUAUGUGCUCUUUGUGUGUGUAAAGACUUGAUUCAUGUCACUCUUUUAUUCAUAAUGUCAAAUGAGAAUCAACGAUGUCUUAGAAAUAUAAACCUAGUGUUAGUUACCAGAUGAAAGUUCUGAGGUGCAGUUAAAGAAGUAAGUUGUUAGGAACAUAAGUUAAGAUGAAGAGAUGAACUGGGUAAGAUAAAAAAAAAAUUGAAAAAAUUAUAGAAAAUAAGAAUGAUAAACGUAAAGAAACAAUAGGAAAGAAGGAGCACUGAGUAGGAUUUUUACAAAAAUCUUGAAUUAUCGCCUAUUUUAUUGCUCCUAUUUUAUUGUUAUUGUAAAUCUUGAAUUAUCGCCUAUUUUAAUGUUAUUUUAUCGCCUAUUUUAAUACAAUUCUAUCUUUGAGGUGGAUAGUUAAACUUCACAUUAAUUAUGUAUAUAAUUGAAUUUUUCUAUACUUAAAAAUUGCGCUUAACUUUUUCAUAAUAGACAAUUAAUAUAUAUUUUUAAAUAAUAUUAAAUCAACAUUCAUUAUAUUUAUGAUAGUUAUUUUUUAUUGGAUAAAUAACUAGCCAUCAAAUUUUAAUAAUUUGUAUUAUUCAAAUUUAAAGAAAAAUAUCAAACUUUAAUAAUUUGUAUUAUUCAAAUCCAAAAAAAUUUCGUCGCUGAUAUUUAUAUGAGAUAAAAGAUUAAUUAAAAUUAAGUUAAAAAUAUUGAAAAAUACGCAUGGCAUUUCUAUAAAUAUGCAAAUAAAUUAACUGAAUAUGAUAAUUUCAAAUGAUGGCUUAGACUCUUUCUAUUAUAUUUUUUUUGGUAAUGUUCUGAGACCUUAUUUGAUUUAACUUUUUAUAUAAUAAUUUAUUUAACCUGAGAACAAAAUAAAGAUUUAAAAAUAAAUUUAUUUCUAAUGUCAUUAUCCUUGUUAUAUAUAAUUUAAAUUUUCUUAAAAAUAUUUUAGAGAAAAUAUUCCUUUUUAAAUCCCUAGAUAAAAAUAAAAUUUUACAUUCCCAAAAAAGACUCCAAUUAAAAUUAUAAUAAUAAAAUUUUUAAGUAUGCAUACUUCCAAGUAAAAUCCAAAAGAAAUCUCCAACUAAAUUAGCAAUCAUAAAUAUUAGCAAAAUUACGUAAAAUAUUAUAUAAUGUAAAAAAUAAUAAUAUAAAAAUAAAUUAUAUAUUUUCAGAUCAUGAAUGUGACACGUUAAUAUUUAUUUGAUAUCAAAAUAAUGCGUAGAAAAUAUCAACAUUUAAAAUUAAUAAUUUUGCUAAAAUAACAAUCUAAGAGGGGUACUGAGAGGUCAAAAUUGGGUGUCAACACAACUAACCCGAUUUAUUCCCAUAAAUUGGAGUCCGUGGAUGGGUACAGUUUACGCAGAUCAUAUUGCUAAGGUAGACAGGUUGUUUUCAAUAGAUCCUCGGUUCAAGAAAAAUAGUUUGAAACUGUCCAUUUUCAAGAAAAAUAUUAAUGAAAAUUGAUUUAAUAUUAAUCGUUGAUCAAAUAUGAUAAACAAUUGAGAUUAGAAGUGAGGAGAUGAGUCAAAUUGAGAUUAGAUAUUGGGUUAAAAAAUUGAAUUGAGGAUUUCGAUUAAGUCAAAUUAAACUCAAUUGACACAAAUUGAGUAUAAAAUGACUAAAAUUUAAAUAAAUUAGGAAAAUUGAAUUGAAUUAAGUUGAUAUUUAAUAAAUAUAGUAACUAUAUAAAAUUGAUAUUAAAAAUAAAUGUAAUAAAAAUAAAUAAAUGUUGAUCGACAGCUGAGAUCUAAAGAUUAAGAAUUUGAUUUAAAAAAAUUGAAUGAAAUUUGAAAUUGAGUUCAAUUGGACACAAUUUGGGCUAGGAUUGUAAUAAAUUGAAUAAAAUUAGACUAAAAUUAUUACAAAUUGGCUGUCACACCCCUUUUUUAUAAAAAAGAAUUGAUUUUAAAGUUUCGAAAGAGUUUUUAUUAUCAAAGUGACAAAAGGUUUAAAAUUUAUUUUGAAAAGGAACUAUUUACAUUUUUUAUUCAAAAUCUCCACUUGACAUUAAUUCGAUGUGUCAAAUCACCAUUGAAAAAUCCUUUUAAAAAAUCAUUUGACUCUUUAAACUGAUUUGCGAACAGGAAUUCCGACUAAGGAAUUCUGUUAACCGAGGGGAAGAUGUUAGGCACCCUCGAUCCCGUGGUUUGACCACAAUCGCUUGGUAGAGCGUAUCGGCUAUCUCGACACUACGGAUAUAUAAACCACACAUAAGCACAUAAAACAAGCAACCAAACAAACAAAGCGAAUCCAAAAUAUAGUAUCCAGUCCAAUUUAUACAGUCCAAAAUAAAUAAUAACUAAUAAAAAAAUGUGAAAAUAAGUCCUAACGAACCUACACUAAUCCUAACUACGCUCCCGCGCUUUACCCGAUGCCUCGAACCUUCAUCAUGAACGUCUCCCGCCAACAUAGUACAUUGGGGCAUUCCCCGGAGAAUAAAUACAAUGUGUCUCGAGACAUUCCCCGACUAAAUGAAUACAUUUAAAUUGAAUGCGAUAGACUAGAGAAAAAUAUUCACACGUCAUUCCACCAUUCAACCACAAACAAAAAAAAACUUAGUCCUAAAUUUGCCUACCCGAACUUACAUUAGCCUAUUCAAUUCAACGUAUCAUAAUAGUAUCACGUUUCAUAUCAACAAUCGAUCAAAAUUGAUUCGAAUCCAACCUUAUCGUCAAUUUUUAAUUCCACCCCAACUUCCCUUUUUAUCAAUCGCCAUUAAACAUGAUCAAAUUAAUUCCUCAAAUCACUAAGCAUCAUGAUCGCAACAUCAACAUCAAACAAUCAGAAUCACCUAACACACAAUCAUGGCUAUUUUAACGAAUUGAAAUAAAGAAGGAAGAAUGAGUUAAAGAAAUGGAGCUUAACGUCGCUUUUGAUGAAUAUUAUUUAACAAAAUAAAGAAAACUCGCCUAUGAUAACUUCGACUUGAGCCUCAACGAAUCUGUCCAAACUCGGGACUGAGUAUCGCAAAAAAUAGGGAGACCCGACCCGAUUAUGAUAAACCCACCCAACUUCGAGCUAGAGGUCGUGAGAAUAAAAGCAAUCUGAACCAGAUUCUAACGGGUACAGACGGGAUUGAGGACAAAUCCUAGUUCAGCGGACUGUUUUUAUGUCGUCGUGACUCCGAUCGACUUCAGCAAUAACCGAAGACUAUAAAAAAGUACCUGAUGUGAUGUAUUCCGAUGAUUCAGCUAGGUUUGCGAUGAUUUUGACGCGUUUCCGGUGAGUCUGUUGCCGGAAACAGUGGCCUCCCGCAAAAUCCGCAUCCCUCUACUCGUGAUUCUCCCCCUCUUCCGUGACUUUCUCUCUCGAUCUGAACUUUUCGGUGUGUGGUGUAUGCGAUUUAGUGCCUUGGAGCUAUGUGUGUGCGUGUAUAAUGGUGCAUCAAAGGGAAGAAGAUGGAUUUUGUUUGUAGGUCAUCUUAUGGCAGUGGAGUGGUCAAUUCUGUGAGUAUGAGUGUUGUAUUCUUGAGGAAUUUGUGUGUAAUCCAGUGUGACCAGUGUGUGCGUGAGUAUAAGAAGGAAAAUAAUGGAGUUCCCUUUUUCUCUCCCAUGACCAUGAAAAUACCCCCUUUAUGAAUGAAGAGGAAGACCUCUUUAUCCAAGAAAAAGCCAAAAUAUUACGUGGGCCCCACUUUUUAUUAUUGUGG